RNAcentral lists this ribosomal RNA (251 nucleotides) under uncultured bacterium. RNAcentral's name for it is "partial 16S ribosomal RNA". It matches the Rfam family "Bacterial small subunit ribosomal RNA", at positions 526 to 776 of the family's 1533-position model. The record is from RNAcentral.
CGUAGGGGGCAAGCGUUGUCCGGAAUCAUUGGGCGUAAAGAGCGUGUAGGCGGUCCGGUAAGUCGGCUGUGAAAGUCCAGGGCUCAACCCUGGGAUGCCGGUCGAUACUGCCGGACUAGAGUUCGGAAGAGGCGAGUGGAAUUCCCGGUGUAGCGGUGAAAUGCGCAGAUAUCGGGAGGAACACCUAUGGCGAAGGCAGCUCGCUGGGACGUUACUGACACUGAGUCGCGAAAGCGUGGGGAGCGAACAGG